AUGAGCAGCCAUAUCACCAUAUCACCCUGCAACUCACAACUGGCAACCCACUGAAGCUAAGCAGGUGUGAGCCUGGUCAGUACCUGGUUGAGAGACCUCCUGGGAAAACUAAGGUUGCUGCUGGAA
Ribosomal RNA from Lepisosteus oculatus (spotted gar), 126 nucleotides. The record is from Ensembl. NCBI's taxonomy places the organism in Eukaryota, Metazoa, Chordata, Actinopteri, Semionotiformes, Lepisosteidae.